GUCUACGGCCAUGCCAUCGUGAACAAGCCCAAUGUCUAAUCUCGGAAGCUAAGCAGGGUCGGGCCAGGUUUGUACUUGGAUGGGAGACCACCUAGGAAGAGCAGAUGCUGUAGGCA
Molecule: ribosomal RNA, 116 nt
Filed under: Pteropus alecto (black flying fox)
Lineage: Eukaryota; Metazoa; Chordata; Mammalia; Chiroptera; Pteropodidae
Source: RNAcentral